This 78-nucleotide ribosomal RNA is filed under the name Acidobacteriota bacterium. RNAcentral describes it as "Acidobacteria bacterium partial 23S ribosomal RNA". Lineage: Bacteria; Pseudomonadati; Acidobacteriota. The record is from RNAcentral.
AGUAAGUUUUAUGAUUAAGCUACUAAGGGCGUACGGUGGAUGCCUUGGCGCCAGAAGGCGAAGAAGGACGUGGCAAGC